RNAcentral lists this ribosomal RNA (254 nucleotides) under uncultured bacterium. Its description in RNAcentral is "partial 16S ribosomal RNA". It matches the Rfam family "Bacterial small subunit ribosomal RNA", at positions 524 to 776 of the family's 1533-position model. The record is from RNAcentral.
UACGGGGGGAGCAAGCGUUGUUCGGAUUUACUGGGCGUAAAGGGCGCGUAGGCGGCCACCGCAAGUCGGUUGUGAAAUCUCCGGGCUUAACCCGGAAAGGUCAACCGAUACUGCGGGGCUAGAGUGCAGAAGGGGCAACUGGAAUUCUCGGUGUAGCGGUGAAAUGCGCAGAUAUCGGGAGGAACACCGGUGGCGAAGGCGGUUCUCUGGGCCUUACCUGACGCUGAGGAGCGAAAGCGUGGGGAGCGAACAGG